UCAAGUGAAGAAGCGCAUACGGUGGAUGCCUUGGCAGUCAGAGGCGAUGAAAGACGUGGUAGCCUGCGAAAAGCUUCGGGGAGUCGGCAAACAGACUUUGAUCCGGAGAUCUCUGAAUGGGGGAACCCACCUAGGAUAACCUAGGUAUCUUGUACUGAAUCCAUAGGUGCAAGAGGCGAACCAGGGGAACUGAAACAUCUAAGUACCCUGAGGAAAAGAAAUCAACCGAGAUUCCCUUAGUAGUGGCGAGCGAACGGGGAUUAGCCCUUAAGCUUCAUUGAUUUUAGCGGAACGCUCUGGAAAGUGCGGCCAUAGUGGGUGAUAGCCCCGUACGCGAAAGGAUCUUUGAAGUGAAAUCGAGUAGGACGGAGCACGAGAAACUUUGUCUGAACAUGGGGGGACCAUCCUCCAAGGCUAAAUACUACUGACUGACCGAUAGUGAACCAGUACCGUGAGGGAAAGGCGAAAAGAACCCCGGAGAGGGGAGUGAAAUAGAACCUGAAACCGUAUGCGUACAAGCAGUGGGAGCCUACUUGUUAGGUGACUGCGUACCUUUUGUAUAAUGGGUCAGCGACUUAUAUUCAGUGGCAAGCUUAACCGUAUAGGGUAGGCGUAGCGAAAGCGAGUCUUAAUAGGGCGUUUAGUCGCUGGGUAUAGACCCGAAACCGGGCGAUCUAUCCAUGAGCAGGUUGAAGGUUAGGUAACACUGACUGGAGGACCGAACCCACUCCCGUUGAAAAGGUAGGGGAUGACUUGUGGAUCGGAGUGAAAGGCUAAUCAAGCUCGGAGAUAGCUGGUUCUCCUCGAAAGCUAUUUAGGUAGCGCCUCAUGUAUCACUCUGGGGGGUAGAGCACUGUUUCGGCUAGGGGGUCAUCCCGACUUACCAAACCGAUGCAAACUCCGAAUACCCAGAAGUGCCGAGCAUGGGAGACACACGGCGGGUGCUAACGUCCGUCGUGAAAAGGGAAACAACCCAGACCGCCAGCUAAGGUCCCAAAGUUGUGGUUAAGUGGUAAACGAUGUGGGAAGGCUUAGACAGCUAGGAGGUUGGCUUAGAAGCAGCCAUCCUUUAAAGAAAGCGUAAUAGCUCACUAGUCGAGUCGGCCUGCGCGGAAGAUGUAACGGGGCUCAAACCACACACCGAAGCUGCGGGUGUCACGUAAGUGACGCGGUAGAGGAGCGUUCUGUAAGCCUGUGAAGGUGAGUUGAGAAGCUUGCUGGAGGUAUCAGAAGUGCGAAUGCUGACAUGAGUAACGACAAUGGGUGUGAAAAACACCCACGCCGAAAGACCAAGGGUUCCUGCGCAACGUUAAUCGACGCAGGGUUAGUCGGUUCCUAAGGCGAGGCUGAAAAGCGUAGUCGAUGGGAAACAGGUUAAUAUUCCUGUACUUCUGGUUACUGCGAUGGAGGGACGGAGAAGGCUAGGCCAGCUUGGCGUUGGUUGUCCAAGUUUAAGGUGGUAGGCUGAAAUCUUAGGUAAAUCCGGGGUUUCAAGGCCGAGAGCUGAUGACGAGUCGUCUUUUAGAUGACGAAGUGGUUGAUGCCAUGCUUCCAAGAAAAGCUUCUAAGCUUCAGGUAAUCAGGAACCGUACCCCAAACCGACACAGGUGGUCGGGUAGAGAAUACCAAGGCGCUUGAGAGAACUCGGGUGAAGGAACUAGGCAAAAUGGCACCGUAACUUCGGGAGAAGGUGCGCCGGCUAGGGUGAAGGAUUUACUCCGUAAGCUCAGGCUGGUCGAAGAUACCAGGCCGCUGCGACUGUUUAUUAAAAACACAGCACUCUGCAAACACGAAAGUGGACGUAUAGGGUGUGACGCCUGCCCGGUGCCGGAAGGUUAAUUGAUGGGGUUAGCGCAAGCGAAGCUCUUGAUCGAAGCCCCGGUAAACGGCGGCCGUAACUAUAACGGUCCUAAGGUAGCGAAAUUCCUUGUCGGGUAAGUUCCGACCUGCACGAAUGGCGUAACGAUGGCGGCGCUGUCUCCACCCGAGACUCAGUGAAAUUGAAAUCGCUGUGAAGAUGCAGUGUAUCCGCGGCUAGACGGAAAGACCCCGUGAACCUUUACUGUAGCUUUGCACUGGACUUUGAGCCUGCUUGUGUAGGAUAGGUGGGAGGCUUUGAAGCGUGGACGCCAGUUCGCGUGGAGCCAUCCUUGAAAUACCACCCUGGCAUGCUUGAGGUUCUAACUCUGGUCCGUGAUCCGGAUCGAGGACAGUGUAUGGUGGGCAGUUUGACUGGGGCGGUCUCCUCCUAAAGAGUAACGGAGGAGUACGAAGGUGCGCUCAGACCGGUCGGAAAUCGGUCGCAGAGUAUAAAGGCAAAAGCGCGCUUGACUGCGAGACAGACACGUCGAGCAGGUACGAAAGUAGGUCUUAGUGAUCCGGUGGUUCUGUAUGGAAGGGCCAUCGCUCAACGGAUAAAAGGUACUCCGGGGAUAACAGGCUGAUACCGCCCAAGAGUUCAUAUCGACGGCGGUGUUUGGCACCUCGAUGUCGGCUCAUCACAUCCUGCCCCAGG
RNAcentral lists this ribosomal RNA (2515 nucleotides) under Pseudomonas aeruginosa. RNAcentral's name for it is "bacterial LSU rRNA". It matches the Rfam family "Bacterial large subunit ribosomal RNA", at positions 3 to 2556 of the family's 2925-position model. The record is from RNAcentral. Lineage: Bacteria; Pseudomonadati; Pseudomonadota; Gammaproteobacteria; Pseudomonadales; Pseudomonadaceae.